AUUUGAACAUUCAAAACUUUAAAGCAUAAUAUUCUUUUAUAUCAAGAUUUCAGGUACAUAGCAUCCUUGUGUGUGUGUGUGUGUGUGUAUGUGUGUAUGUCUGUAUGUGUUAGUUGCUCAGUUGUGUCCAGCUGUUUGUGACCCCAUGGACUGUGCCACCAGGUUCCUGUGUCUGUGGAAUUCUCCAGGCAAGAAUACUGGAGUGGGUUGCCAUUCCCUUCUCCCAGGGAUUAUCCUGACCUGGGAGUUGAAUCCAGGUCUCCUGCAUUGCAGGCAGAUUCUUUAUUAUCUGAGCCAUCAGGGAAGCCCAUAUAGUAUCCUUAGAAAUUCUGCAUAUAUCCUCAUAUUACAUUAGCUUUGGGGCUGAUGUAACAUAUUUUCUAAAGCUGUUUUGGAUCAAUAUCUGGGCAUACUGGCACAUAAUGUAGGAGUUGGAUGCCACCUGUUUGGGAUAUCUUAAUGCAUUUCACUCACAUUUUAAAUGUAAAGCCAAUGUAACAUCUGUUUUGAAAAGGGUGGUUCUGCUGUUUGGUGUGCAGUGGCCUCUGAGCACUCACUGGCAGUUUCAUAGCUGUUAUAAAAAAAACUGAUUACCUACCUUAAGUGGUCAUCUUUAACCUAGUUCUGAGAAUGGGCCACUAUAACUUCUUGAAGAUUGUAGGUAAACAUUCUGUGAACAUAUACUUGUUUCCACAGAUAGAAAAAAAAGGGGGUCCAUUUUGGAAGGGUGGGUGAUGAAAAUGGUUAAGAAGUGUAGGUUACAGGUUAAAUUAAAUAAUGUUAGUUAUUUGAUUUAACUCCUGCAGUGCCUACAGCAUUUGGGCAUAUGAUUAUUCAAGUUUUUAUUCAUUACCAGAAAGCAAUGUGAAUGUAUUUGGUGUUUGCAAUGAAAAUUCAGUAUUUUUAUAAUUCUAAUAAAUUUUCCUUCUUGUGGAACAGAUGGAAUGACACUGUGACAGAGUCUCCAGAUCCCCUUUGGCAUAGCUAUCAAGUUGGGCUGGUACAAGGUCCAUGGAUGAGCACCGACAAGGGAGUCUCCAUUGGAAUCUCUGUUGCUGUCUUGGUAGUAUUGCUCAUAUUUGUGGUAUUCUGGAUUAACAAAAGUAAGUCACCUCAGGACUGUGCCCACAGGAGUAUUCUUGAGCCAAACGACCUGUAG
RNAcentral lists this long non-coding RNA (1159 nucleotides) under Bos indicus x Bos taurus (hybrid cattle). RNAcentral describes it as "lncRNA (ENSBIXG00000027380.1)". The record is from RNAcentral. Lineage: Eukaryota; Metazoa; Chordata; Mammalia; Artiodactyla; Bovidae.